Molecule: ribosomal RNA, 777 nt
Filed under: uncultured Neocallimastigales
Lineage: Eukaryota; Fungi; Neocallimastigomycota; Neocallimastigomycetes; Neocallimastigales
Description: partial large subunit ribosomal RNA
Rfam family: Eukaryotic large subunit ribosomal RNA
Source: RNAcentral
AGAGAGAGACAUGCGCGCAUAUCAAUAAGCGGAGGAAAAGAAACUAACAAGGAUUCCCUUAGUAACGGCGAGUGAAGCGGGAAGAGCUCAAAUUUGAAAUCUUCAAGGUUCUACCUUGACGAAUUGUAGUUUAAAGAAGUGUUUUCUGCUUGAAGUUUUGGUAAAAGUUCUUUGGAAUAGGACAUCAUAGAGGGUGAGAAUCCCGUAUUUGACCAUUAUUUUCAGCUUUGUGAUACACUUUCAAAGAGUCGGAUUGUUUGGGAAUGCAGUCCAAAAUGGGUGGUAAAUCUCAUCUAAAGCUAAAUAUUGGCGAGAGACCGAUAGCGAACAAGUACCGUGAGGGAAAGAUGAAAAGAACUUUGAAAAGAGAGUUAAACAGCUACGUGAAAUUGUCAAAAGGGAAGCGUUUGACACCAGUGUUGUUUUCUCGAAAAUCAAUUAAAAAUGGCUCGAUUUUGUAUUGCUUGAGACCUUAAAAGCUCACUGUACAUUUUUCGUGUCUUUUUUAAUGCACCUUUCGUUUAACAAGUCAACAUCAGCUUCUUUUGUUGUAAAAGGGUCAUUGGAAGGUGGCUUUCUUUUCGGAGAAAGUGUUUAUAGCCUUUGGCCUCUGCAAUCGAAGAGACUGAGGUCUGCAGCGUAGACUCUUCGGGGUUAGAUACAUUUGUGCUAAGUUAUAGCUUUUUAUAGACAACUUGUUGACUAUAAUUAGUCUUGUAGCUUACUCGCUUAUGCUAUUUUACCUACGCUUAGGAUGUUGAGUCGUAGAGCACGCAG